UACCGUCGACCUGUAUUCGCGACCGCUGUGUAGUGCAGAAAGUGUAGAAAGUGCAGAACGAUGCAAACGAUGCAUCUUUCGCGAAUUGUCGAUAUGCGACGGUUGUGCGGCGGUGCCGCCUGCAGUCGCCGCCAGCGACGUCGCGCGUUUAAAUUUCUCCAAUUCCGCGUCUGUUUUUACGGAUGAAUCGCGAUACGCGGUCACGCGAUCUCCGAGGUUCCGGAGGUAUUUGGCUUAAAGGAGGUGGAAAAUUAAUUACCGAGAAAGACCGACAACGAAUUGGGUUGGCAUUUUAACCUCUCCCGAAACGGACGAAAAUUAAAUCGUGCGCCACAUAACCGUACGAGAAACCAGGUCGUAUGGCACCUUAUCUGCAGUUACAUACUCCGGUAAACAAAACAACAAAAAAAAACAAAAUUGGAUAUCGCACCGUGCGACGCAUCUGCGUUCAGAUUUCUUCGUCCUGGUCCGAGGAUUGCGAAUCGAAGCUCGUUACGCUUCGCAAUUAUAUCCUCGCUCGAGUGAAUUCGCGUGCGAUAUAGCUAGAAAAGCCGGGGACGCGGAGAGUUGCGGAAUAUACCUCUUUCUCCGCGACGUCGGCCAGCGUAGCGUAUCAUCGUUGAUCUGACAGUUCGAUAGGUGCUUAGAAGCGAUAAUUGUGCAAUUUUGUACUCGUCGAGGAAUUAUAGGCUGCACGACAGCAAGCUGGAGAGGCACGUAACAAGCUACGAGGCCGAUUGUACGCCGGUAUAGAAAUCUGCCAAUCUACUCCGAGUGACUGUACAAUUAAUGAUGCUGGAACAGGAUAAGGCAGCAGAGAACCGGCUGAGGCAGUAGAGAGAUCAAUAUCGGGAAAUCAAUCAAGGAGGAGAGUUGUGGAAAUUAAUUUGCGUUAAUAAUUUAUGAUACGGCCGAGCCGCGGAGGCUUAUUGAAAAUUUUCCUGGACAACUCGGACUUGCGCAUGCCCGCGAGCGCUACCCCGGACCCGACCGCCAAUCGUCAAACGAUACGAUAAUCCGCGCAGCGACAAACCUGUCAGUCAUCGUCGUCAGUAGAGCCUAGUCAUCGUCAUCGCGGCCAUCGCGUGACCCGCCUGAAUGAUCAACGUCCCAACGACAGGCGUCAACAACGGCAGUCGACUCUCGGCAGUCCGUCGCGGUUUGCAGCCAACACCGCAGGCCAGCAACACCACGCCACCGCUAGUGCAGCGCUUCGCGACGGUGGACCGGAGUCGCCGCCGUGACAGUUAGUAGUCGGCCAGUCGUCGGCCAGAGGGUAUUGGACCCGUGAUAUCGGCGAGCAGCCGAGGAGGCCCACGCGUCGCGUGUCCUCAAACAAGGACAGGAUACCUCGAAGGGAAGAGGGUAUAG
Long non-coding RNA from Wasmannia auropunctata (little fire ant), 1371 nucleotides. RefSeq lists it as uncharacterized. Lineage: Eukaryota; Metazoa; Arthropoda; Insecta; Hymenoptera; Formicidae. The transcript is spliced from 3 exons. The record is from RefSeq and is a predicted model, not a curated record.